RNAcentral lists this ribosomal RNA (251 nucleotides) under uncultured bacterium. Its description in RNAcentral is "partial 16S ribosomal RNA". It matches the Rfam family "Bacterial small subunit ribosomal RNA", at positions 524 to 774 of the family's 1533-position model. The record is from RNAcentral.
UACGUAGGGGGCAAGCGUUAUCCGGAUUUACUGGGUGUAAAGGGAGUGUAGACGGUCCUGCAAGCCAGAUGUGAAAGCCCGGGGCUCAACCCCGGGACUGCAUUUGGAACUGUAAGGCUAGAGUGUCGGAGAGGCAGGCGGAAUUCCUAGUGUAGCGGUGAAAUGCGUAGAUAUUAGGAGGAACACCAGUUGCGAAGGCGGCCUGCUGGACGAUGACUGACGUUGAGGCUCGAAAGCGUGGGGAGCAAACA